Molecule: non-coding RNA, 394 nt
Organism: Megalobrama amblycephala (Wuchang bream)
Lineage: Eukaryota; Metazoa; Chordata; Actinopteri; Cypriniformes; Xenocyprididae
Source: the annotation of a RefSeq genome assembly
UUAUUUGCAUCGCAGCACAAGCUUCAGGAGGUUUUAAAGCUCUGUGAGUUUGAACAAUGAGAAUCUGAACCAACAGCAACCAUGAGCUUCAUCACCAUCUUCAUCUGGAUGUUCACUAGCUACUGUUUCACAGAAUCAGCUGGUGAAGUGACAGCCACUCAGACGCCUGCAGUGAAAUCUGUUCGUCCAGGAGACACAUUUACCAUGUCCUGUAAAAGCAGUCCUGACGUCUAUCAGAGUUGGGAUCAUCAACCUCUAUCCUGGUUCAGUGAUAAAGAGUCAAAAACCUCCGUCAGUCAGAGUCACAGUGAAGAUAUAGUUUUAUAAGUGUAUUGAGCCAUGGCUAAAUGAACUAUCUUCUAAACGCUUUGACUAAUUAAAAUCCUUUUGAUAA